Molecule: RNA transcript, 8582 nt
Organism: Anopheles funestus (African malaria mosquito)
Lineage: Eukaryota; Metazoa; Arthropoda; Insecta; Diptera; Culicidae
Gene: norpA
Gene name: 1-phosphatidylinositol 4,5-bisphosphate phosphodiesterase
Exons: 13
Source: RefSeq, a predicted model, not a curated record
UGGUUCCCUUGCACUGCGCUUUGCCUUACACCAAAAGCGGGAAAAAAGGCCAAAAGGCUGUAAAAACGCGCCGGUGGGAGAUAAGCGCAAAUGCUCUCUCACUGAUGUGCGUGUUGCUGCUAGUAUUAUUCACGUGUAGUAUUUUGUUCCGCGAGCGCGAAACGGUGUGUUCUUCUUCCCCUUAAAAAUGCACGCGCGAUCGUCAGUGUGUGAGUGUAUUUUCUUCGUGUUGCCGAAAUGUCAGUUGGCAAGGGUGUGCGCCGUCGUGCGUUUGUGAUUACAGGGUUGUUCGUCGAAUGUUGUUUUAAUCGUUUGACACUGAAUUAAGUGAAAAUUACAAUCAUGCCUCAGUAAUUUAUUCCUUUCAUGAUUAGUACAUGGCUGAUAGAUUGAAUAAAUCGAAAAUUAUGUCAUUUGAGAGAUACUCUGUAUAACUUGCCAUUGUUCGACUGAUUUCGGUACACACCGAUAACACUCGUCAACCCUGCAAUUGCAGUACUAGAUGCGUAUCCCCCCACUUUUCCGUGCAAUUGCGCGGAAAAGGGGAUAUUGCUGUCAAAAACCGGACUGCUCACAUUCACACAUGAACCAUCGGUGCACGUGAGAAAAAGAGAGAUAAAACGCUUGAAAGAAAGAGAAAAGCGACCGACGGACCAGAGCCAGCAGCAGCAGCCGCAGCAGCAGCAGCAUCAGUAUCUAUUGUUUCUUGCCACCAACGGCUGCGGGUGCACAACGAAAGCCGUGCAUUAUUGUGCUCCGGCAGCCAAGAACUUUUGUGUGGUGUCCGUGUAACAGUGGCUGUGGGCGAACAAAUCGGUACGGUGCAGAGGUGCGUGUGCAGCAGUAAUAGCAGCAGGAGCAUUAACAACAUCAAUGCCACCUUCGAUCGGGAAGGAAGAUUGAGGUGUGCGCAAAAGAAAAUAAAUCGUUAGUGUGUGCGUGAGUGAGUGUGUGUGUGUGCGUAUGCGUUUGUUCGGGAAACGAUAUGGUGGUACCGCAUCCGUAAUCGAAAAUUGCACCGAGCAUCAUUUCCCACCAUCAUCAUCAUCAUCAACGCCAUCAUUAUCAUACCUGGGUCGGUAUCAUCUGCACCUCGUUCGGAGUCACCCGCACCAGUCAUCGGUGCACGUGCUGCUAUAGCUGUGCCAAUGUGUGCGGAAAUCACUGAUUUGUUGUGUGUGGAAAACAUCACUCGCUAACGUCGUUCCCAACCGUGAGGGAGCAGAGAUCAGUGUUCUACCACCGGUGGGGGGCGGUGUUUGUUAUCGAGUUUAUCAGGUGGUAGAAGUGAAGGUGUGGUGCAAGUGUGAAGCCAGCCGGUGGUAAAGCAGCAUUUUCCUGCAAGGAUUUAGCUUGAUGCUGCUUCAAACCGACAAUCCGCAGCGGCACCAUCGAUAUCACACAUCGUAACCGCCGGUUCAAGAUAAAACCCAUCUCCAUCCUUCGUUGUUCAAGCACCGUUCUCGGGUUUUGAGCAGCCACCGGUCGUCGUCACGAUCAGUCGUCGGCUUACCAGCGCAUCAACCUUACCGGCAGGAUGACGAAGAAGUUCGAGUUCAACUGGCAGAUCCCGGUACCGGAACCGCUCCUCACCGGAUGCGUGUUUGAUCGCUGGACGGAGGAGAAGGACAACAACGAGCUGGAACCGAACUGCAUGUUUAAGGUGGACGAAUACGGGUUCUUCAUCUACUGGAAAAGCGAAGGCCGGGAAGGUGACGUUAUUGAGUUAUGUCAAGUCAGCGAUAUCAGAGCGGGCGGAAUGCCGAAGGACAUGAAGCUGUACAAUCAAUUGUGCAACAAGCACGGUGAAAAUGUGGAGGAAAAAUCUCUGACCAUCUGUUCGGGUACGGACUACAUCAACAUCAACUAUCAGCAUGUCGUCUGUCCGGACGCAGCAACGGCCAAGAUCUGGGUGGAUGGUUUGCGCAAAAUCACUCACAACGGCAAAGCCAACAAUUUCUGCCCAAUGACAGCUCUCAAAAAGCAUUGGAUGAGGUUGGGCUUUCUAGUCGAUCCGCGUGGAAAAGUUCCAGUCAAGGUGGUUGCCCGAACAUUUGCCUCUGGCAAAACGGAAAAAUUGGUGUAUCAGAUUCUGUCCGACCUUGGACUGCCGAGCGGCAAAAACGAUGUGAUCGAGAAAGCUGACUUUACAUUCGAAAAGUUUUACGAACUGUACCACAAGAUCUGUCCCCGUAACGACAUCGAAGAGUUGUUCCGGUCUAUCACACAGGGUAAAGCGAACUCGAUCAAUCUGGAUCAAUUUAUCAACUUUCUGAACGAAAAGCAACGUGAUCCGCGGCUGAACGAGAUCCUGUACCCGCUGUACGAUGAGAAGCGAGCGCUCGAAAUAAUCAACACGUAUGAACAGAACGAUGAAGCGCGGGAAGCGAAAACCCUCACCAAGGACGGACUAAUUCGGUACCUUAUGUCGGACGAAAACGCACCCGUGUUUCUGGAUCGUCUCGACAUCUACAUGGACAUGGAUCAACCGCUGUCGCAUUACUACAUUAACUCGUCCCACAACACGUACCUGUCCGGCCGUCAGUUCGGAGGCAAAAGCUCGGUCGAGAUGUACCGUCAAACGCUGUUGGCCGGGUGUCGGUGUGUCGAGCUGGACUGUUGGGAUGGAAAGGGCGAGGACGAGGAACCGAUCAUCACGCACGGUAUGGCGAUGUGUACCGACAUUCUGUUUAAGGAUGUGAUUUACGCGCUGCGUGACACAGCCUUCGUCACGUCCGACUAUCCGGUGAUUCUGUCCUUCGAAAACCAUUGCUGCAAGUCACAGCAGUACAAACUGGCCAAAUAUUGUGACGAGAUUCUGGGUGAUCUGUUGCUAAAGGAACCGAUCCAAGACUUUCCGCUUGAUCCGGGGGCACCGCUGCCCCCACCGUCCGCCCUGAAGCGAAAGAUCCUUAUCAAAAACAAGCGGCUAAAGACGGAGGUGGAAAAGAAAGAGCUGGAACUGUUCCUGCAGGGUGAGUUCGUGAUUGAGGAUGAAGACAAGGAGGACGCGAGCGCGGUAGUUGAUGUGACAAAAAUAAGCGAGCUUGCGGCCCCGGCGGCAGCAGCAGCGGCACCGGUGGCAGCGGCAGCCGCAUCACAGGACGGUGGCGAAGAGGCACCACCAAUCCAGUACACCGGCUCAACGACGAACGUACAUCCGUGGCUAUCGUCGAUGGUGAACUACGCGCAGCCCGUCAAGUUCCAAACGUUCGAUUAUGCGGAAAAGAAGAAUGUCCACCACAACAUGUCCUCGUUCGCGGAGACGACCGGUAUGAACUUGCUGAAGUCACAGGCGAUCGAGUUCGUCAACUACAACAAGCGGCAGAUGUCGCGCAUCUAUCCGAAGGGUACGCGGGCCGAUUCGUCCAACUAUAUGCCGCAGGUGUUCUGGAAUGCCGGCUGCCAGAUGGUGUCACUCAACUUCCAAACGUCCGAUCUGCCGAUGCAGCUGAAUCAGGGCAAGUUCGAGUACAAUGGUAACUGUGGCUAUCUGCUGAAGCCGGACUUUAUGCGGCGAGCCGAUCGUAGCUUUGACCCGUUCGCGGACGCACCGGUGGACGGUGUGAUUGCGGCAUCCUGCGCGGUACAGGUGAUUGCCGGUCAGUUCCUUUCGGACAAGAAGGUCGGCACGUACGUUGAGGUGGACAUGUACGGUUUGCCGUCCGACACGGUGCGCAAAGAGUUCCGUACGCGCAUGGUACCGGCGAACGGGUUGAACCCGGUGUACAACGAGGAACCGUUUCUGUUCCGCAAGGUAGUGCUGCCCGAUCUGGCCGUGUUGCGUUUCGGCGUGUACGACGAGAACGGCAAACUGCUCGGUCAGCGCAUCCUGCCGCUGGACGGUUUGCAGGGCGGUUACCGGCAUAUCGCGCUCCGCACGGAAGCGAACUUCCCGAUGUCGCUGCCCAUGCUGUUCUGUAACAUCGAGCUAAAGAUCUACGUACCGGAUGGCUUCGAGGACUUCAUGGAUGCGCUGUCGGAUCCGCGUGCUUUCAUGGGUGCCGCCAAGGAGCGGUCCGACAAUAUGAAGGCGAUGGGUAUCGAGGAGACGGGCAAGAAGGACAAGGAGGAGCAGGCCCGGAAGGAGGAACAGCGCGUCACGGAACCGCCGCUCGUGUUCGACCCGAUCACGGUGGAUUCGUUGCGGCAGGAGAAGGGCUUCCAGAAGACGGCCAAAAAGCAGCAGAAGGAACUGGAUGCAGUUAAGAAGAAGCACGCGAAGGAGCGUGCCGGCGUACAGAAGCAACAGAACGCGGCGAUCGAGCGGUUGAUCAAGGGUAAAAGCAAGGAUGAGAUUAAAGCCGACCCGGCGGUGCGCAAGCUGAUACAGGAGCAGAACGCCCAGUGGACGGAAAUGGCCGAACGGCACAAGAAGGAGGAGUGGGAGCUGCUAAAGCAGCAGCUCUCGGACCAGCAGGACAUUCUGCGCAAGCUGAUGGAAACUACGCAGGCCGCCCAGAUGAAGCAGCUCGAAGCGAAACACGAGCGCGAAAUUAAGGAGCUGAACAGUCGCCAGGCGAAGAUCUCGGUCGAAACGUCGAAGGAGGUCGCCAACGACAAAACGCUCAAGACCAAGGGCGAGAAGGAUCGGCGGCUGCGCGAGAAGAAGCAGAACAACAUUAAGCGGUUCAUGGACGAGAAAAAGACUGCCACCAUCAAGCAGAACAGGGAGAAGGAAAAGCUGAAAGUCACCCACGACAAGCAGCUGGAGGAGUUGGCGAACGAUGUGCAAAAGCUGUCGGCUAGCGGCUGUAGGCUUAUUAGUAGCGGCAGUAGCACUAGCAUUAAUAUCGAACAAAAGUCCACGAGCAGCGGAUCGAUACCGACGGCGACGGUAAGCGGUCGAACGGAGACGGUGGCACCACCCGUUCCAUUUCGUAGCUUCUCCACCAUUCCGCCACCGUCCGCACAGCAUCUGAUCCGAUUGAACACGAUCGAGGAAGCAAGAAAGCGCGAGGAAGCCAAACAGUCCGAUUGUCCCUGCGUUUGUUCGUGAAGAACACUAAUGGUGAUUGUGAGGAAGGCCUGGUCUAGUUCUAGGCUGUGGAAUAUGCAUCACGAGGAAGCUUACCGUAGCGUGCCAAAUGCAAAAGUAUUAUUUAGUAAAUCUCAUCGAAAUGUACAAAGUGGACGAGGAGGAAUACAAGCUGGCAUCGAAAUACGAAUUUUUCGCCUAAACAGUGCGCACCUUCUCCACCGUAAGCUCCUCGAUCCCCGGUAGCCAACCGGAGAUAUAUGUUGAAACGGGAAAAAAAGAAAUGCAAAACUACCAUGCACCAUCAUAUCCGCGUGCCAGUGGUGGUGCAUUGUUGCAGUUACUCCAAAGACACUAACGGCGCGAGGAAAACCACAAAGAAAGCAAAACUCAUUGUAAGCCCGUGUGUGUGAACAGCAAAGUGAAAAGCAAGCAAAAGCAACACACAGAUAGAAAUUAUACACACAUAAUAGUAUACAUAAUAGAGAGAGAAACACAGAGACAUACACGUACUUUAUGAAUGAGCGGGAACAAAUUGUUGAAGCGGCGCACCAGGCGCCUCCAUUUUCCAUUCGGCACCGUUUCAAGAGUUGCUUUCCGAUUUUAUUUUACUAUAUUAUCUCACGCGCCAGGUCACACCGCUGCUAUGUGUUCUAACUGUAUCUCUUUAUUUUAAUGUUAGUUUUAUUAACAACUUUUAAGAUCCACCAUACUUUAUGGCUUUUUAAGCGUUACGAUCAAUAUCUAUUUUUCGUUUAUAGUUCGCUGUACAUUUUAAUUUCAGCUGUUUUGUAUCUAUUUUUUCCAUUAUUUAAUUUAUCUCUAUCCUUUCAACCAUGUCAAUUGAUGAAACGUUCUCUAGUUGUUUCUGUUACCAACCAAUUAUGCACCACAUAAUCUUGCCGGUUUUGAUAAAAGAGGCACCGUUAUCUUUCUCCUUCGUUGUAUAGUAUAGCGUUGAGCGAAAGUAAUUAAACCACUAUAAUACAACAACACAAAACAAGUCUCUGGAUAGCAAUGUGUUACUACUACACCGUUUAUAUCAAAUCUUCAAGGAGGUGUGUUAAUAAUCAAUGCGAUUAUGAUGGUCCAAUACUGUUGCAAUCUGAAUGGGUGUGUAGAAGCAAACAUUAAGCCUAAUAAGGGAAUAUAUAUAUAAUAUUAUAAGGACACUGAAAACUGAAGCAAAAAUCCCCCUAGUGAAACAAACUGGGCGUAAGGUGAGGAAACUUCCUGGCAACACAAAAAAAACACACAAACGCACCUUCUCUUUCUCCUUUUGCAGUGUGCGCACGUGCGUGCAUGUGUGCGUGUGUGUUUCGAUGAUUGAUUGCAGAAAAAUAUAUGGAUUAAAGUUCAAAAAACAGAAUAGAACAGAAAUUGAGCCUAGCAAACAAAGAGAACAAAACCAAAAGUAACCAAACAGACCUAACCCCAUUUUUUAGAUAAAUAAGAUAUGCACGGUUUUUUUUUUUGUUCUAAAUUAGAAGGAGAAUUUAGCAAAUGACCCACAGAAAGGAAGGUCGAAACACUCGAUGAAAGAAGGAUAAUAUCAGAAGGAUAAUAUAAAAAUGAGAACCAAAAAAAAAACCAACACACACAUAGACACUUUUAGCAAAAGAUAGAAGUAAAGUCACCCGAACGAUAGCGAAAGAGGAUAGAGUAAAUGUAAAGUUAAGCAACAAAAACAACCAAAAACAAAUGGCAGUAGUUGAAUGUGCAAGAAGAUGUGAAGAAGUGCAAAGCGAUAAUGCAAAUGAUACCAAAUGAAAGCGAUCAUACAGAACACAAAACAAAGGAGAGGAAGUAGUAAAACACGACGCAAACAGAAAAUUGCUGGUUGAUUUUAUAUGUUUUUUUUCGGUAUGAGCACUGGAGUAAUAGAUAUACAUGCAAUACCCAGGCACAUUGUUUUUUUUUAUAGAUGUUUUUUUUUUCGUUUGUAGAAUUAAAAAACCGAACAAUUGGUUUUAGAUGAGAUGAUAAUUAAUUGAGCUGAUCGGGCAGAAAUAGGAGGCAUUUUAAAAACGGUGAGAAAGAAUGUUGACGGUGUGCGUGUGAGUUGUGGGUCUGUGUCAGGAAAGAGUUAGAAUCUAAUACUUAAUUACUGUUUAUUAUGCUAUAACUUGUACACAGUGAACAACACAGACAGAUAGUAAAGUAGAACAAACAAACAAACAAACAAACAAACAAGGAACAAUCCUUGCAACUUUGUAUCUAAGAAUCAAGCUUAACUAACGAAUGAGAGUCAUAUUAGUGCCUAUUUCGAGUGCAGCUACAAACUGCGAUACUUCCCCCCCAUUACUUUGUUCUUUUGGAAUUAGGAAAGGGGGGAGGAAAGGGAAUCGAUCGUGAUGUGGCAGCUCGUUUCCGUAUCCUGCCGUAACUGCAAGCCACGCUACAUGUUACGGUUUUUUGUUUUUCCUACUAAGAAAAACACUCAAACUACUAUUACGGGAAUCGUAUCCUACAAACAGUCGAAGGGCUUCAGGAUGCGUCCAUUUCAUUCAAAUACACACAAACACGCACGCACGCACGCACGCUGGCAUACUCAUGCACUCGCUUGUUAUUGUUGUAACACACUUAUUACCCUUUCUGUUUACCUUAUCCCUACUGCAGUAUGAGAUUGCAUUGUGCAAAUGCAAACACAAGUGAGAUAACAAAGCAAAACCCCUACAACAAGAUCAGAACCGAUCAGGCAUUGUUUCCGGACCCCUGUUCCGUAGCUCGUUGUCCUCGUCGUUCGGGACAUAAAAAGACGGCACGCUGCUAGGACUCGGCUGGGCUGGACUGGUUCGCAAAGUACACUCUAGUCGUUUACGUUUUAAGAGUAUGUUAUUAUAUAUAGUAAGAGCAAACAAACAAACGCAAAAGUAUAUAGCAAACGAGAGGUUACAGAACAGCAAACAAACAAAAGAAAAUAAAAACGGGAAGGAGAGCGGCAAGCAAAACAACAAAAAGGGAUUAGUAAAGAUGAGAAGAAGAAGAAGAAAAACAAAAAAACACACACGAUUAAAGCUAGUUACAAUAUAUCAUUCCGAAUAAGAGAAAUUGUGGUUCGUGUGGGCAAACAAAACUAGAAAAAGGGGGUGUAAAACGAAAAAGAGUGUGAAAAAGAGUAAAGUGAAUAAGCUAUCUUUUGGGGCGGGUGGUAGUACGGGAAGAAUCUAUAUGGUAAACUACCCAAAAAGGAGAUGAGAGCUGUUCGAAGGAGCAAAAACAAAAAGCAAAACAAGCAAACAAAAACUGGAAGGAACUGUUCCGAAGCGUGAGUUGUUUAGUUUAUUUUUUGUUUUCAUUGUAGCACAGAAAGGAAGAAAUAAACAAUAAUAACUGAAAUACGAACGUUACCUCACACCGUUCCUCCGAUCCCCUUUUCCUUUCCUUCCCUCCCCCCCACACGAUGAUGUAUUCCUCGCCCAAAAACCCACAAACACAAACAUCGGUAACGUCCAUGUGUGAACCACCACCUCUGCGCCUUCUCUUCUGCGGACGUUCGUUUCCUGUUUGUCAAUGAACUAAUUGUAAUUACACGAUGCAAACAGAAACAGAAAAAAACGUAAUAUCAUUAAUAAAAAGAAAUCUAUUACGAUAGCAAAAUGCA